UCAGUUCGGAUUGCAGGCUGCAACUCGCCUGCAUGAAGUCGGAAUUGCUAGUAAUCGCGGAUCAGCAUGCCGCGGUGAAUACGUUCCCGGGCCUUGUACACACCGCCCGUCACACCAUGAGAGCCGGUAACACCCGAAGUCAGUAGUCUAACCGCAAGGGGGACGCUGCCGAAGGUGGGGCUGGUGAUUGGGGUGAAGUCGUAACAAGGUACC
This 213-nucleotide ribosomal RNA is filed under the name uncultured bacterium. RNAcentral's name for it is "partial 16S ribosomal RNA". It matches the Rfam family "Bacterial small subunit ribosomal RNA", at positions 1288 to 1500 of the family's 1533-position model. The record is from RNAcentral.